AUCAUCUGGGGAUCUUAUUAAAAUGCAGAUUUUGAUUCAGUAGGUCCGUGAUGGGGUCUGAAAUUCUGCAUUUAUAAUAUGCUCCUAGAUAAUGGUGA
This is a non-coding RNA of Myotis lucifugus (little brown bat), 98 nucleotides long. The record is from Rfam. Lineage: Eukaryota; Metazoa; Chordata; Mammalia; Chiroptera; Vespertilionidae.